Molecule: long non-coding RNA, 1677 nt
Organism: Vicia villosa (hairy vetch)
Lineage: Eukaryota; Viridiplantae; Streptophyta; Magnoliopsida; Fabales; Fabaceae
Exons: 3
Source: RefSeq, a predicted model, not a curated record
UGAAAAAGUAAAAAGGCAUUGAACUAAAUUCCACUUAGCAGCGCAUUGGGCCAGAUUACAGGGGGUGUGAAGAGAAAUUCGUGUUAGAGCCCAUGCUUUAUUGAGUCCAAUUCAACAAAUUUAUGCAUGAUUAAUGUCAAUUAAUUACAUCUGAUUUCAUGUUAAUUCUGAUUAAUUAAACUUAAUGCUAAUUAAACUCAAUUAACAGCAAAUUGGACAAAUAAACAGAGAGAGGAAUUAGGGUUACGUUUUGUGAUGAUUCAAAUCCUCUGAGCUUCUCCUCCCUCUCACUCGCAAACGAACGGCGGCGGUACGGUGGCUCUCUCUCUCGAUUCAACUCAUUGUGCCGGUGAAAGUUUCACGGCGGCGGAAUCUCAGCCCUCUCAUUGCGCAAGUCUCUCGUCUCCGUUUCGGUUCUCGAACUCUCUCUAUCUCUUUCAGCUCAAUCCCGUGGCUCUCUCAUCUUCUCCUUGUUCGUUAUUGAUGAUGAUGAUGUUGUUGCAGAGCAUGAAGUUAUGAAGCAACGCGGUUCCAAGACGUUGUUGAUGAAGAUGCCGAGCGUUGUUCUUGCGGAUUGAUGACGAUGAAGAUUGUUGCUACUUCUUGCAGAUUUGUUGAAUACUGAUUUUCUGUUACAUUUUCUGCGAAAUCAAGAUUGGAGAACUGAUGAAUGAAUCGUGGAAUGUAGGUUCUUUUGUGUUAUUACUGGUGCGCGUUGAAGAAGAUGAAUCGAGAAAGAGAAAGAUGAAGGUUCUGAGUUUUGGGAUGGGGGAAUGGUGACGGAGGUGGAGGUUGAAGGGUGAUGAUAGGAUCAGAAGUGUGAAGAUGUGGUAGAGGAUGAUGAUAGGAUCCGAAGUGUGAAGAUGUAUGCGUGUGUAGAGAAGGUUCAGAGAAGGUCAAGAUUGAUAGAGUUUUUUUUGUUAUGAGGCAUUGAGUUAUGGUUUGAUAUGGAUGUGAAGAGACAUAUGGUGCCUUGGAGAUUGAAAUAUACUUGAAGAUUUUGAGGAGGCUUGUGAAGAUGAAGCGAAAUGGCUUGUUGGAAGCAAAAUGAAGCUGACUUAGAAACAAGAUAGGGUUUAGGAUAGGGUGCUGACUUUGGUCCAACAAUCAUUAUUAUUUUUGUAAUUUUCAAUGGAAGGUGUAAUGUAAUGGUUCCUUAAUAAAAUUUGGAUUUUUGGACAUGAUUGAAAGUGUAAUGUGAAAGAACUUUGUAAAAGGGCAUUGAAUGGUGUAUUCUUUUUGUAUGAUUUUUGUAAUGAAAUUUGAGUGGGCUUCUUGUAAUGAAUGAGAACCUUUGGACAAUACUUGAAUGAGCUUGAAUCGAAUGUUGAACUUCAAGUAAUAAAGCUUUUGCAAAUAUUCCAAAUUCCUUCAACUUUAUCUUCCAACCUUGUAUACUUGAAAACUUCGAUUCAUUUAACAAAUGUAAACACAAAUUCGACUUUAAAGUGUUAAUGAAUCCAAAUUCGACUUCACUUGUCAAAGAAACAUUGGCCUCAAUUCAAUCUUCUAAUCCAUAUCAAACUUGCAUGACACGCACCAAGUAACCGAAAGAAUAGAACUUAAAUUCCAUCUUCAAUUAAUGGGCCUUAAUGAGCACAUACCCAAAACUUCUAAUUCCUUUAUUUGAUAGGCAACUUCACGACUUUAUUCUUUAUCUGAAUCCUUAAUGAACCA